Molecule: RNase P RNA, 396 nt
Filed under: Cytophaga hutchinsonii
Lineage: Bacteria; Pseudomonadati; Bacteroidota; Cytophagia; Cytophagales; Cytophagaceae
Description: RNase P RNA component class A
Rfam family: Bacterial RNase P class A
About the family: Ribonuclease P (RNase P) is a ubiquitous endoribonuclease, found in archaea, bacteria and eukarya as well as chloroplasts and mitochondria. Its best characterised activity is the generation of mature 5'-ends of tRNAs by cleaving the 5'-leader elements of precursor-tRNAs.
Source: RNAcentral
AAUACAAGCUGUCUUAUCGCCGUUUGCCUUUUGGCUCAGGGAGGAAAGUCCGGGCAACACAGAGCAUCUUACUACCUAACGGGUAGGCUGUUGUUUAGAAAUGAACAAUGGACAGACAGGGCCGCAGAAAAUAACCGCCUCGCUUCGGCGCGGUAAGGGUGAAAAAGUGAGGUAAGAGCUCACUCGUCGUGUAGUGAUACAGGAUUGGGGUAAACCUUAGGAGUUGAAAGACCAAAUAGGUUCCGACUAUGGUGCUGCUCGUACCAAAUAGCACGCAAGUGUUAUUAAUCGGAAUGGGUAGGUCGUUUGAGCCUUGUAGUGAUGCAAGGUCUAGAUAAAUGAUAAGAAUCACGCUAAGGCGCGAAACAGAACCCGGCUUACAGGCUUGUAUUGCUU